GAUGAACGCUGGCGGCGUGCCUAACACAUGCAAGUCGAGCGAUUUACUUCGGUAAAGAGCGGCGGACGGGUGAGUAACGCGUGGGUAACCUGCCCUGUACACACGGAUAACAUACCGAAAGGUAUGCUAAUACGAGAUAAUAUACUUUUAUCGCAUGGUAGAAGUAUCAAAGCUUUUGCGGUACAGGAUGGACCCGCGUCUGAUUAGCUAGUUGGUAAGGUAAAGGCUUACAAAGGCGACGAUCAGUAGCCGACCUGAGAGGGUGAUCGGCCACAUUGGAACUGAGACACGGUCCAAACUCCUACGGGAGGCAGCAGUGGGGAAUAUUGCACAAUGGGCGAAAGCCUGAUGCAGCAACGCCGCGUGAGUGAUGAAGGCCUUCGGGUCGUAAAGCUCUGUCCUCAAGGAAGAUAAUGACGGUACUUGAGGAGGAAGCCCCGGCUAACUACGUGCCAGCCGCCGCCGUAA
This 468-nucleotide ribosomal RNA is filed under the name uncultured bacterium. Its description in RNAcentral is "partial 16S ribosomal RNA". It matches the Rfam family "Bacterial small subunit ribosomal RNA", at positions 28 to 523 of the family's 1533-position model. The record is from RNAcentral.